RNAcentral lists this ribosomal RNA (320 nucleotides) under uncultured bacterium. RNAcentral's name for it is "bacterial SSU rRNA". It matches the Rfam family "Bacterial small subunit ribosomal RNA", at positions 30 to 334 of the family's 1533-position model. The record is from RNAcentral.
AUUGAACGCUGGCGGCGUGCUUAACACAUGCAAGUCGAACGCGAAAGGGGGCUUCGGCUCCCGAGUAGAGUGGCGCACGGGUGAGUAACGCGUGGAUAAUCUGCCCUCUUGUUCGGGAUAACUGCUGGAAACGGCAGCUAAUACCGGAUAAGCUCUACCAAUUGUAUGGUGGAGGAAAGGAGGCCUCUUCAUGAAAGCUUCCGCGAGGGGAUGAGUCCGCGUCCCAUUAGCUAGUUGGUGAGGUAACGGCCCACCAAGGCAACGAUGGGUAGCCGGUCUAAGAGGAUGACCGGCCACACUGGAACUGAAACACGGUCCAG